GACGAACGCUGGCGGCGCGCCUAACACAUGCAAGUCGAACGAGCGAGAGAGAGCUUGCUUUCUUGAGCGAGUGGCGAACGGGUGAGUAACGCGUGAGGAACCUGCCUCUAAGAGGCGGACAACAGUUGGAAACGACUGCUAAUACCGCAUAAGCUCACGGUACCGGCUGGCACAGAGGGAAAAGGAGCAAUCCGCUGUGAGUUGGCCGCGCAUCCGAUUAGCAAGAUGUUGAGGUUACGGCACAUCAAGGCGAGGAUCGCUAGCCGGACCGAGAGGGUGAACGCACACAUCGGGGCUGAGACACGGCCGAGACUCCUACGGGAGGCAGGAGUGGGGAACAGUGCACAAUGGGGGAAACGCUGAUGCAGCGCGGACGGGUGGAGGAAGAAGGUCGUCGGAUUGUAAAGUCCUGUUGUUGGGGAAGAUAAUGACGGUACCCAACAAGGAAGUGACGGCUAACUACGUG
RNAcentral lists this ribosomal RNA (466 nucleotides) under uncultured bacterium. RNAcentral describes it as "partial 16S ribosomal RNA". It matches the Rfam family "Bacterial small subunit ribosomal RNA", at positions 28 to 507 of the family's 1533-position model. The record is from RNAcentral.